GACGAACGCUGGCGGCGUGCUUAACACAUGCAAGUCGAACGGUAAGGCCCUUCGGGGUACACGAGUGGCGAACGGGUGAGUAACACGUGGGUGAUCUGCCCUGCACUUCGGGAUAAGCCUGGGAAACUGGGUCUAAUACCGGAUAGGACCUCUGCCUGCAUGGGUGGUGGUGGAAAGCUUUUGCGGUGUGGGAUGGGCCCGCGGCCUAUCAGCUUGUUGGUGGGGUGACGCCCUACCAAGGCGACGACGGGAAGCCGGGCUGGGAGGGUGCCCGGGGACACGGGGAUUGGGAUAGGGCCCGGAUGCGUCAGGGGGUACGGAGUGGUGUAUAUUGCACACUGGCUGAGAGACUGGCGCAGAGACGACGCGUGAGGGAUGCAGGCCUUCGGGUUGUGAACCUCUUCCGGCACAGACGAAGCGCAAGUGACGUUAGGUGCAGAAGAAGGACCGGCCAACUACGUGCAAGCAGCCGCCGUAA
RNAcentral lists this ribosomal RNA (478 nucleotides) under uncultured bacterium. RNAcentral's name for it is "partial 16S ribosomal RNA". It matches the Rfam family "Bacterial small subunit ribosomal RNA", at positions 28 to 523 of the family's 1533-position model. The record is from RNAcentral.